This is a long non-coding RNA of Mustela lutreola (European mink), 807 nucleotides long. RefSeq lists it as uncharacterized. The record is from RefSeq and is a predicted model, not a curated record. The transcript has 3 exons. NCBI's taxonomy places the organism in Eukaryota, Metazoa, Chordata, Mammalia, Carnivora, Mustelidae.
GGGGAUUGGUCACUGACUUAAUCAGGGCCCUGGGAUUGGUUUCAGGACCAGUGCUGAUGGUGCAGAAUGGGAAUGACUUUCCGUGGUGUUGCUGUGUCAAGGGUCUGAGAUCUCGGCAUAGCCCAGUAAAUAAUUGAGACAGCAUCACUCCACCUAGAGAGAGGAUCAUCUACGUGAAAUGCAGAAGGGAGAAGCACAUUGAUGUCCAUACUGUAAACCUGUGAGCACAUCUUGCUGCCUUCGGCCCCUGUUCUUUACAGGAGUCCACUGCCUCUAGCUAUUCUCUUCAGAGGGUUAAUGCUGGGGAAACAGGGUCUAAAUAUCUGACUGGGGCGCAAUGUGCCUAACACUAAAACUGUGACCUGGAAUGCAAAUCAAAUGGUCUUACUUAAUGAAGAAAUGACAAGGAAUCAGUCGAUUUGGUUUUUUGGCACAUAGUUCUAAUUAUAUGACUGUUAUUUUAUUUGGAUUAUCUCAUUUUUCAGGAAGUUGCAUCCUGACCUCAGGAAGCCAAUCUUUGUCUUUCCAACAUCAUUUUAUACAUUUCCAAAGUCUUGACUAGAGAAUAUAUCAGGAAUUUUCCAUUUUAAUCAUAAUUUUGCCUCAACAAUAACAUAAAAAUGUUUUAUUCAUUUUUCUUACACACUAUUUGACUCUUCUGCCCUCUUUAUUUUGUUCUAAUUUGAUUGUGUGUUUGGCUCCGGCUGUGGGGGAACAGUGCAUUAGGAAGAGAGCCAUCACAUUUUGAGGGUCGCCAGCUGGCGAAAGUUUACAUUUGGUGGAUCCUACUUGCAGAAGAGUUGGUGA